GAACGGAAAGGCCCUGCUUGCAGGGUACUCGAGUGGCGAACGGGUGAGUAACACGUGGGUGAUCUGCCCUGCACUUCGGGAUAAGCCUGGGAAACUGGGUCUAAUACCGGAUAGGAGCCAUUUUUAGUGUGAUGGUUGGAAAGUUUUUUCGGUGUAGGAUGAGCUCGCGGCCUAUCAGCUUGUUGGUGGGGUAAUGGCCUACCAAGGCGGCGACGGGUAGCCGGCCUGAGAGGGUGGACGGCCACAUUGGGACUGAGAUACGGCCCAGACUCCUACGGGAGGCAGCAGUGGGGAAUAUUGCACAAUGGGCGCAAGCCUGAUGCAGCGACGCCGCGUGGGGGAUGACGGCCUUCGGGUUGUAAACUCCUUUCGCUAGGGACGAAGCUUUUGUGACGGUACCUAGAUAAGAAGCACCGGCUAACUACGUGCCAGCAGCCGCGGUAAUACGUAGGGCGCGAGCGUUGUCCGGAAUUACUGGGCGUAAAGGGCUCGUAGGUGGUUUGUCGCGUCGUCUGUGAAAUUCCGGGGCUUAACUCCGGGCGUGCAGGCGAUACGGGCAUAACUUGAGUACUGUAGGGGUAACUGGAAUUCCUGGUGUAGCGGUGAAAUGCGCAGAUAUCAGGAGGAACACCGAUGGCGAAGGCAGGUUACUGGGCAGUUACUGACGCUGAGGA
Molecule: ribosomal RNA, 674 nt
Filed under: uncultured Actinomycetales bacterium
Lineage: Bacteria; Bacillati; Actinomycetota; Actinomycetes; Actinomycetales
Description: bacterial SSU rRNA
Rfam family: Bacterial small subunit ribosomal RNA
Source: RNAcentral